GACGAACGCUGGCGGCGUGCUUAACACAUGCAAGUCGAACGGAAAGGCCCUGCUUUUGUGGGGUGCUCGAGUGGCGAACGGGUGAGUAACACGUGAGUAACCUGCCCUUGACUUUGGGAUAACUUCAGGAAACUGGGGCUAAUACCGGAUAUGAGCUCCUGCUGCAUGGUGGGGGUUGGUAAGUUUCGGCGGUUGGGGAUGGACUCGCGGCUUAUCAGCUUGUUGGUGGGGUAGUGGCUUACCAAGGUUUUGACGGGUAGCCGGCCUGAGAGGGUGACCGGCCACAUUGGGACUGAGAUACGGCCCAGACUCCUACGGGAGGCAGCAGUGGGGAAUAUUGCACAAUGGGCGGAAGCCUGAUGCAGCAACGCCGCGUGCGGGAUGACGGCCUUCGGGUUGUAAACCGCUUUCGCCUGUGCCGAAGCGUGAGUGACGGUAAUGGGUAAAGAAGCACCGGCUAACUACGUG
RNAcentral lists this ribosomal RNA (468 nucleotides) under uncultured bacterium. RNAcentral's name for it is "partial 16S ribosomal RNA". It matches the Rfam family "Bacterial small subunit ribosomal RNA", at positions 28 to 507 of the family's 1533-position model. The record is from RNAcentral.